RNAcentral lists this ribosomal RNA (302 nucleotides) under uncultured Alphaproteobacteria bacterium. RNAcentral describes it as "bacterial SSU rRNA". It matches the Rfam family "Bacterial small subunit ribosomal RNA", at positions 397 to 773 of the family's 1533-position model. Lineage: Bacteria; Pseudomonadati; Pseudomonadota; Alphaproteobacteria. The record is from RNAcentral.
UGCRGUGAGUGAAGGCCUUAGGGUUGUAAAGCUCUUUUAUCCGGGACGAUAAUGACGGUACCGGAGGAAUAAGCCCCGGCUAACUUUCGUGCCAGCAGCCGCGGGUAAUACGAAGGGGGUGAAAGCCUHUCGSUCAACCACAGAAUGSCCUUCGAUACUGGGACGCUUGAGUAUGGUAGAGGUUGGUGGAACUGCGAGUGUACAGGUGAAAUUCGUAGAUAUUCGCAAGAACACCGGUGGCGAAGGCGGCCGGCCAACUGGACCAUUACUGACGCUAGGGCGCGAAAGCGUGGGGAGCAAAC